CUAUCAUUGUGAAGCAGAAUUCAC
Molecule: non-coding RNA, 24 nt
Filed under: Arabidopsis thaliana (thale cress)
Lineage: Eukaryota; Viridiplantae; Streptophyta; Magnoliopsida; Brassicales; Brassicaceae
Also listed under: 1 other name
Source: RNAcentral